Molecule: ribosomal RNA, 500 nt
Filed under: uncultured bacterium
Lineage: Bacteria
Description: partial 16S ribosomal RNA
Rfam family: Bacterial small subunit ribosomal RNA
Source: RNAcentral
GACGAACGCUGGCGGCGUGCCUAAUACAUGCAAGUCGAGCGGACCACUUCGGUGGUCAGCGGCGGACGGGUGAUUAACACGUGGGCAACCUGCCUGUAAGACUGGGAUAACACCGGGAAACCGGUGCUAAUACCGGAUACUCCUUUCCUUCACAUGAGGGAAAGCUGAAAGACGGUUUCGGCUGUCACGUACAGAUGGGCCCGCGGCGCAUUAGCUAGUUGGCGAGGUAACGGCUCACCAAGGCAACGAUGCGUAGCCGACCUGAGAGGGUGAUCGGCCACACUGGGACUGAGACACGGCCCAGACUCCUACGGGAGGCAGCAGUAGGGAAUCUUCCGCAAUGGACGAAAGUCUGACGGAGCAACGCCGCGUGAGCGAUGAAGGCCUUCGGGUCGUAAAGCUCUGUUGUCAGGGAAGAACAAGUACCGGAGUAACUGCCGGUACCUUGACGGUACCUGACCAGAAAGCCACGGCUAACUACGUGCCAGCCGCCGCGGUAA